RNAcentral lists this ribosomal RNA (449 nucleotides) under uncultured bacterium. Its description in RNAcentral is "partial 16S ribosomal RNA". It matches the Rfam family "Bacterial small subunit ribosomal RNA", at positions 29 to 523 of the family's 1533-position model. The record is from RNAcentral.
AAUGAACGCUGGCGGCAGGCCUAACACAUGCAAGUCGAACGGAUCCUUCGGGAUUAGUGGCGGACGGGUGAGUAACGCGUGGGAACUUACCCUUUGGUACGGAAUAGCCUCGGGAAACUGGGAGUAAUACCGUAUGUGGUCGAGAGACGAAAGAUUUAUCGCCAAAGGAUUGGCCCGCGUUGGAUUAGGUAGUUGGUGGGGUAAUGGCCUACCAAGCCGAUGAUCCAUAGCUGGUUUGAGAGGAUGAUCAGCCACACUGGGACUGAGACACGGCCCAGACUCCUACGGGAGGCAGCAGUGGGGAAUCUUAGACAAUGGGGGAAACCCUGAUCUAGCCAUGCCGCGUGAUCGAUGAAGGCCUUAGGGUUGUAAAGAUCUUUCAGGUGGGAAGAUAAUGACUGUACCACCAGAAGAAGCCCCGGCUAACUCCGUGCCAGCCGCCGCAGUAA